UGGGGAAUAUUGCGCAAUGGGGGGAACCCUGACGCAGCCAUGCCGCGUGAAUGAAGAAGGCCUUAGGGUUGUAAAGUUCUUUCGGUAUUGAGGAAGGUUGAUGUGUUAAUAGCACAUCAAAUUGACGUUAAAUACAGAAGAAGCACCGGCUAACUCCGUGCCAGCAGCCGCGGUAAUACGGAGGGUGCGAGCGUUAAUCGGAAUAACUGGGCGUAAAGGGCACGCAGGCGGUUAUUUAAGUGAGGUGCGAAAGCCCCGGGCUUAACCUGGGAAUUGCAUUUCAGACUGGGUAACUAGAGUACUUUAGGGAGGGGUAGAAUUCCACGUGUAGCGGUGAAAUGCGUAGAGAUGUGGAGGAAUACCGAAGGCGAAGGCAGCCCCUUGGGAAUGUACUGACGCUCAUGUGCGAAAGCGUGGGGAGCAAACAGGGUUAGAUACCCUGGUAGUCCACGCUGUAAACGCUGUCGAUUUGGGGGUUGGGGUUUAACUCUGGCGCCCGUAGCUAACGUGAUAAAUCGACCGCCUGAGGAGUACGGCCGCAAGGUUA
This 547-nucleotide ribosomal RNA is filed under the name uncultured bacterium. RNAcentral describes it as "bacterial SSU rRNA". It matches the Rfam family "Bacterial small subunit ribosomal RNA", at positions 355 to 896 of the family's 1533-position model. The record is from RNAcentral.